UACGGAGGAUCCGAGCGUUAUCCGGAUUUAUUGGGUUUAAAGGGUGCGUAGGCGGCCUGUUAAGUCAGGGGUGAAAGACGGUAGCUCAACUAUCGCAGUGCCCUUGAUACUGAUGGGCUUGAAUGAACUAGAGGUAGGCGGAAUGUGACAAGUAGCGGUGAAAUGCAUAGAUAUGUCACAGAACACCAAUUGCGAAGGCAGCUUACUAUGGUUUUAUUGACACUGAGGCACGAAAGCGUGGGGAUCAAACAGG
RNAcentral lists this ribosomal RNA (253 nucleotides) under uncultured bacterium. Its description in RNAcentral is "partial 16S ribosomal RNA". It matches the Rfam family "Bacterial small subunit ribosomal RNA", at positions 524 to 776 of the family's 1533-position model. The record is from RNAcentral.